UUAGCAUGAUGAUGAUGAUCGUAAUUAACAUUGUCCGAUUCAGUUAUGAAGGAUUAAUUACCUCCUACUCAUUCUGA
Molecule: small nucleolar RNA, 77 nt
Filed under: Erythranthe guttata (spotted monkey flower)
Lineage: Eukaryota; Viridiplantae; Streptophyta; Magnoliopsida; Lamiales; Phrymaceae
Description: Mimulus guttatus (spotted monkey flower) Small nucleolar RNA Z105
Rfam family: Small nucleolar RNA Z105
About the family: This family consists of several snoRNA Z105 sequences which are members of the C/D class of snoRNA which contain the C (UGAUGA) and D (CUGA) box motifs. This family seems to be found exclusively in plants. C/D box small nucleolar RNAs are known to act as a methylation guides for 18S ribosomal RNA.
Source: Rfam by way of RNAcentral